Long non-coding RNA from Ochotona princeps (American pika), 1047 nucleotides. RefSeq lists it as uncharacterized. NCBI's taxonomy places the organism in Eukaryota, Metazoa, Chordata, Mammalia, Lagomorpha, Ochotonidae. The transcript has 3 exons. The record is from RefSeq and is a predicted model, not a curated record.
UAGCCACCACUCUCUGAGGUGUUACAUACUCCCUCUGGUAUAUUUCAAAGCCUGCAUUUUCAGCUGAUUGUAAACAAGCUCUCGAAGAGAGGAACUAGUUUCUCGGUACGUUUUAAACUGAGCAGAAAGUUGUGAGAUAUUAAAAAAUAGGUCGACGCUGUCCAGCCUUCUGGAAAGUGUCAACAUUUAAUUUUGAUCCAUAGGCUACGUACUUCUAGCUUUUGUUACUGAGGUGGUCCCUCCACCCCUCCUUGGAAAUCUUUUCAGCCUGGGUUAAUUUUCCUCUAAAUACCGGUUUUCCCUACUGUUCUCACCUAUUUAGAAUGGAAACAAAUCUAAGGAGCUUAAAGAGAGAAAUGGGGGAGUUGUGACUCUCCGGGGUUUUCACUUCGUAUGAAACCUAGCAGGAGGGAAGGGAGCAGCUGGACUCCGAGAGGAGGACCCGAGUGUUUGUAAACUCAGGGUGGCUGGCUCACCCGCCUGCCUGCCCAAGCUGCCGUUCUGAGUCGGCUCUGCUACCUAGGGCUAGAAGUGGAAAAACUUGAUUUGCGUGUUGUGCCUGCGUUUUGUUGUGUGUGUUUUUUUUUUUUCUCCCUCUCUUUCCUUGCCCACACCGCCCUCUGUACACCUGACCCGGUAGAAGCCUAUCUGAAGCCGACCGGGUGGCAGGGAGGCAGGAAGAACGGAAGAAUGUCCAAGGGAGGGAGGGCUCGGUACUUUUCCAUUCACAACUCCACAGUGGCUUUUCUUGUUUAUUUCAACCUCCACCCUCAGAAACCUUUCAGCUGCCUGAAAUCCGAGUCAUUAAACUGUUCCCUGAGCUCCCCCUGGAACACACUGUGGGACACUGAGCAAGGGCCCCAGUGAGGACUCAGUUUCCUCCUGUGUGAAAGGAAUAACCCAGGGGACUCUACAAGACCUUAGAAGGCAGCAGCAAUGACUCAAGUAGUUGGAUUCCUGCUACCUACAUGGAAGACCUGGAUUGAGAUUUUGGUUCCCAGCUUCAGUCCCCUUGCCCAUCUGAAGACCACUGGAAAAUGAAUCAGC